Molecule: small nuclear RNA, 21 nt
Filed under: Arabidopsis thaliana (thale cress)
Lineage: Eukaryota; Viridiplantae; Streptophyta; Magnoliopsida; Brassicales; Brassicaceae
Description: snRNA_16536
Source: RNAcentral
CGAUUUGGCGGUGCCCAAAAU